CUGACACAGGGAGGUAGUGACAAUAAAUAACAAUGCCGGGCCUUUUUAGGUCUGGCAAUUGGAAUGAGAACAAUUUAAAUCCCUUAUCGAGGAUCAAUUGGAGGGCAAGUCUGGUGCCAGCAGCCGCGGUAAUUCCAGCUCCAAUAGCGUAUAUUAAAGUUGUUGCAGUUAAAAAGCUCGUAGUUGGAUUUCUGGUGGGGGUGUUUGGCCGGCUCAAUGAGUUUUGCGCCUAUACGUCUCCGCCAUCCUUGGGGAAAACUUGCUUGGCAUUAGGUUGUCGAGUUUGGGAUCCCCAUCGUUUACUGUGAAAAAUUAGAGUGUUCAAAGCAGGCUUAUGCCGUUGAAUACAUUAGCAUGGAAUAAUAAGAUAGGACCUUGGUACUAUUUUGUUGGUUUGCGUACCUAGGUAAUGAUUAAUAGGGACAGUUGGGGGUAUUCGUAUUCAAUUGUCAGAGGUGAAAUUCUUGGAUUUAUGGAAGACGAACUACUGCGAAAGCAUUUACCAAGGAUGUUUUCAUU
This 519-nucleotide ribosomal RNA is filed under the name uncultured bolidophyte. RNAcentral's name for it is "SSU rRNA". It matches the Rfam family "Eukaryotic small subunit ribosomal RNA", at positions 451 to 974 of the family's 1831-position model. The record is from RNAcentral. Lineage: Eukaryota; Bolidophyceae.